GCAUAAUUGCUAAACAUCUUAUCAUAACUUAAAUAUUACACAGUACAAGGUUAGAAGGUUUAUCACGUGACAGAAUUCAACACAUUUCGCUACCCAAAAAAAGCCACUUAAUCUAAAUUAAAGGAGGUCAGAUUUAAAACACAGUAACCCACUUUAUUAAAUGCAUCAACUGCAAAAAACCGAUGACCAACGCAUAAACGUAAAUUCACACACUUAGGGUUAGCAACGAGAAUCAAUUUCAUAACCACCCGGUAAAGAUAGCUUAAUAAGCGUUUUUGCAUGAACAACAAAAAACGGCACCGGAAGCACAAUUAAUAACAAAUAGCACCAUCGUUAUUUGUCGCCGAUUUCGUUAUAGCCUGAAGAUAAACAUUUGCGACACAAACCAAAACAUUGCCUACUUAUUAUGAACUACUUAUUAAUAUUUUCAUAACAACUAUAGAUAAAUAAGCAAACAAAAAGCUUGAAAAAUGGAUAUAAAUAAAGCCAGUUUCAACCUGAACGGGAGAAGUCCGAGAUGAACCGCCAAAGUGCGUGUUAACCGUCAGGUUGGAAAUUAUAACCAACCAAAA
Molecule: long non-coding RNA, 572 nt
Organism: Anopheles funestus (African malaria mosquito)
Lineage: Eukaryota; Metazoa; Arthropoda; Insecta; Diptera; Culicidae
Exons: 2
Source: RefSeq, a predicted model, not a curated record